RNAcentral lists this ribosomal RNA (253 nucleotides) under uncultured bacterium. RNAcentral's name for it is "partial 16S ribosomal RNA". It matches the Rfam family "Bacterial small subunit ribosomal RNA", at positions 524 to 776 of the family's 1533-position model. The record is from RNAcentral.
UACGUAGGGGGCAAGCGUUGUCCGGAUUUAUUGGGUUUAAAGGGUGCGUAGGCGGCUUUGUAAGUCAGUGGUGAAAUACGGUAGCUUAACUAUCGAGGUGCCAUUGAUACUGCAGAGCUUGAGUACAGAUGAGGUAGGCGGAAUUGACGGUGUAGCGGUGAAAUGCUUAGAUAUCGUCAAGAACACCUAUAGCGAAGGCAGCUUACUAGGCUGUAACUGACGCUGAGGCACGAAAGUGUGGGGAUCAAACAGG